GCAGCAUCCCAGCCCUGCGGUCCCAUCCAGCUAUACCAGGGACUCUGUCUCCCCUCAACCUCCAGAACCCCAAACCAGUCAUAGCACUACAGCUGACCAGUAGCAGGGUUAUCAUUGGCUGCCAGCCUCUAUGGAUGAGCUCUGACUUCUCAGCGGGGGUUGAUGGAUUAUGCAGCAGGAAUUAAAGCUCUAACUCUCCUCCACUUUCACUGGGUAAGCCAUUAGACUAGAAUGUAAUGGAUGUGGGAGAAGAGAGAAGAAAUAUGGAAUGCCUCUGGCAAUGGCUAGCAUGAUGAUGUACCUCCACACUGCCUGCCGCGUGACUCCCACGGCCACAACACAGGACACCUUGCACUACAUAGCAACUAUUAUUAGUGACAUCAGCUGCCAACCUAAAAGUACACCUCUACCAAGCAUAAGGUGAAACUGUCAGUUCCAUUUCAUGUGGAGUGGAUGGUAUAUAUUUAGCUCUUUUAUGCCUCAGUAGAAGAAGGAGAAUCAUGUGCAGGGAGCCUGCCUUAGCCCCACUGUGCCAAGGGGCUGGCAAUCCCGUGGGCCGGACUGAAAGCCCUGAUGGGCUGGAUCCAGCCCGCAGACUGUUUUCUAUGAACUGCCACUACAUCCUAUUCUACAGGACCGCAGCAAUGGACUUUAGCAUGGAGUUAUGUGAGGUAAUUUAAGUCCAUUGGUUGUCUAGCUGCCAGCUGAAGGAAAAGUCGCCAUAUAACCAGAGAAUGGACAGCAGUGAUUUACUUCUAGCUGUGAUUCUUGUAAACACCAACCACUGUAGAUGAACAUAGUGAACAGAUUCUCCAAUGGCUAUCUACACACCUUGCUUGCUCACAGAUGUUUCGACCACUCAUAUAAGGUUCAAGUUAGGCAAGCCUGGAUUUAGACAGGCAGCCUGCAGGGUUCCAUUUAUUUUGCAAUUGCAUAAGCCUCCUACACAAAUUUUCAAAGCAAAUGAUGGCUUGAUGGAAACAAGCUUAAACAAGGGUACCUGGUACAGAGUACUCUAGGAAUCAGCAGACCUCCUAGUGUUUACAACACUGGUCCACACAAGAGUUUGCGACCUCUCAUAUAGAGUAAGGAAGAAAAACCUGUGUGUGAAAGUUUUGAGGUGGAUCUGCGUCAUAGUGAUGGUCAGUUUAUGGGUGGAAGCAGAUUAAUGAAGCAGGUGAAAGAGCCUUUGAAACCCUGAGAGAACCUUUGAAUCUAUGUUCAAAACAGACAUAAGCCAUAAAGAAAGGAGUAUUCGACAUUGUCUUUUGAUCUUAGAAGGCCAUUCAGAUUAUGAACAAUCCUAAAUGCCUAGAACCAAAAGGAAGCUCCAGCAGCAUGUUAUGUAGUGUGGUCUGCUAAAGAGAUCACAUUGCAGAAGGGGGCCACUGUAUAUUUGUGAAUGAAUCCUUGAACAGUUCAUUCCCUGGUGCCCUUGGCCUAAAUAAAGUAAAUAC
This is a long non-coding RNA of Mauremys reevesii (Reeves's turtle), 1457 nucleotides long. RefSeq lists it as uncharacterized. The transcript has 4 exons. NCBI's taxonomy places the organism in Eukaryota, Metazoa, Chordata, Testudines, Geoemydidae. The record is from RefSeq and is a predicted model, not a curated record.